RNAcentral lists this ribosomal RNA (447 nucleotides) under uncultured bacterium. RNAcentral's name for it is "partial 16S ribosomal RNA". It matches the Rfam family "Bacterial small subunit ribosomal RNA", at positions 29 to 523 of the family's 1533-position model. The record is from RNAcentral.
AACGAACGCUGGCGGCAGGCUUAACACAUGCAAGUCGAGCGCCCCGCAAGGGGAGCGGCAGACGGGUGAGUAACACGUGGGAAUCUACCCAUCCCUACGGAACAACUCCGGGAAACUGGAGCUAAUACCGUAUACGCCCUUUGGGGGAAAGAUUUAUCGGGGAUGGAUGAGCCCGCGUCGGAUUAGCUAGUUGGUGGGGUAAAGGCCUACCAAGGCGACGAUCCGUAGCUGGUCUGAGAGGAUGAUCAGCCACGCUGGGACUGAGACACGGCCCAGACUCCUACGGGAGGCAGCAGUGGGGAAUAUUGGACAAUGGGCGCAAGCCUGAUCCAGCCAUGCCGCGUGAGUGAUGAAGGCCUUAGGGUUGUAAAGCUCUUUCGCCAGGGACGAUAAUGACGGUACCUGGAUAAGAAGCCCCGGCUAACUUCGUGCCAGCCGCCGCAGUAA